AAUAACUUAAUUUUUAAAUAAGGGUUUAGUUGAUAAUUUUAGCUAAAAGGAAUUUAAAAGAAAAGAAAUUCGUAAUUAAAAUUAAAGAGAAAAUAGAAAAAGAAGCAAUUUAGUGGGCCAAGCCCAAAAAGGAAAAAAAAAAAGGGGGGGGGGGGGGGGGGGGGGCUUUAAAAUUCUGAUGGCUAAGCCAUCAGACGUGAAUCACUAAAUUGCUGAAAGGAAAAAAAAAGGGGGAAACGUGCCAACAGAAGGAGAAAAAAAACAGUGGGACAAAGGAAAAGAAAGGGAGAAAAAGAAAGGAAAAGAGAGGAUAAAAAUAAGAACUUUCAUCCCAAAUCAUCAAGUUUGAGGCAAUCCGGAGACUCGAGAACGCAGUUUUGAAUUAUUGGGAAGUGUGCUUGAAUUGUGAAUUCGAGAUACUGUCGUUGAGAACGAGGCUGGUAAUUGAAGACUUCGUGAGUGGAUUCUGUUGCUGAGGUGAGCCACCGCAUUGUUCGUGGAGGCAACUAUUUCAGCUUUAUCUAGCUUAUUUCUAGUUAUUUCUUUUAUUUUGGGUUUACAU
This is a long non-coding RNA of Lycium ferocissimum, 562 nucleotides long. RefSeq lists it as uncharacterized. The transcript has 3 exons. The record is from RefSeq and is a predicted model, not a curated record. Lineage: Eukaryota; Viridiplantae; Streptophyta; Magnoliopsida; Solanales; Solanaceae.